GUCCCCGUAGCUCAGUGGACCAGAGCAACCGCCUUCUAAGCGGAAGGUCGCAGGUUCGAAUCCUGCCGGGGACGCCA
RNAcentral lists this transfer RNA (77 nucleotides) under Chloroflexota bacterium. Its description in RNAcentral is "tRNA-Arg". It matches the Rfam family "tRNA". Rfam says of the family: Transfer RNA (tRNA) molecules are approximately 80 nucleotides in length. Their secondary structure includes four short double-helical elements and three loops (D, anti-codon, and T loops). Further hydrogen bonds mediate the characteristic L-shaped molecular structure. tRNAs have two regions of fundamental functional importance: the anti-codon, which is responsible for specific mRNA codon recognition, and the 3' end, to which the tRNAs corresponding amino acid is attached (by aminoacyl-tRNA synthetases). tRNAs cope with the degeneracy of the genetic code in two manners: having more than one tRNA (with a specific anti-codon) for a particular amino acid; and 'wobble' base-pairing, i.e. permitting non-standard base-pairing at the 3rd anti-codon position. The record is from RNAcentral. Lineage: Bacteria; Bacillati; Chloroflexota. RNAcentral also lists the same sequence under 2 other names.